RNAcentral lists this small RNA (29 nucleotides) under Bombyx mori (domestic silkworm). Its description in RNAcentral is "ovarian small RNA-13241". The record is from RNAcentral. Lineage: Eukaryota; Metazoa; Arthropoda; Insecta; Lepidoptera; Bombycidae.
CAGCGCUUCGAAAGAAAACCUCGGCUGUA